RNAcentral lists this ribosomal RNA (253 nucleotides) under uncultured bacterium. Its description in RNAcentral is "partial 16S ribosomal RNA". It matches the Rfam family "Bacterial small subunit ribosomal RNA", at positions 524 to 776 of the family's 1533-position model. The record is from RNAcentral.
UACGUAGGGACCGAGCGUUGUCCGGAAUCAUUGGGCGUAAAGAGCGUGUAGGCGGCCACUUAAGUCCUGCGUGAAAUCUUGCGGCUCAACCGCAAGCGGUCGUGGGAAACUGGGUGGCUAGAGUGCGGGAGAGGAGAGUGGAAUUCCGGGUGUAGCGGUGGAAUGCGUAGAGAUCCGGAAGAACACCGGUGGCGAAGGCGGCCUGCUGGGCCGUUGCUGACGCUGAGGCGCGACAGCGUGGGGAGCAAACAGG